UACGUAGGGGGCGAGCGUUGUCCGGAGUUACUGGGCGUAAAGCGUGCGCAGGCGGUUUUGUAAGCCAGAUGUGAAAUCCCCGGGCUUAACCUGGGAAUGGCAUUUGGGACUGCAAGGCUUGAGUGCGGCAGAGGAGACUGGAAUUCCUGGUGUAGCAGUGAAAUGCGUAGAUAUCAGGAGGAACACCGAUGGCGAAGGCAGGUCUCUGGGCUGACACUGACGCUCAUGCACGAAAGCGUGGGGAGCAAACAGG
Molecule: ribosomal RNA, 253 nt
Filed under: uncultured bacterium
Lineage: Bacteria
Description: partial 16S ribosomal RNA
Rfam family: Bacterial small subunit ribosomal RNA
Source: RNAcentral